AUUGAACGCUGGCGGCAGGCUUAACACAUGCAAGUCGAGCGAUCGGCGGACGGGUGAGUAAUGUAUGGGGACUGCCCGAUAGAGGGGGAUAACUACUGGAAACGGUGGCUAAUACCGCAUACUAUCCGAUAACCCAUAUGGGAUUAGCUAGUGGGUGGGGUAAAGGCUCACCUAGGCGACGAUCUCUAGCUGGUCUGAGAGGAGGAGCGGACACACUGGGACUGAGACACGGCCCAGACUCCCACGGAGGCAGGAGUGGGGAAUAUUGGACGAUGGGCGCAAGCCUGAUGCAGCCAUGCCGCGUGUAUGUAGAAGGCCUUAGGGUUGUAAAGUACAUUCAGCGGGGAGGCGUUACCCGCAGAAGAAGCACCGGCUAAAUCCGUGCCAGCAGCCGCGGUAAUAC
This 403-nucleotide ribosomal RNA is filed under the name uncultured bacterium. Its description in RNAcentral is "partial 16S ribosomal RNA". It matches the Rfam family "Bacterial small subunit ribosomal RNA", at positions 30 to 526 of the family's 1533-position model. The record is from RNAcentral.